GUCAUGGCUCAGAACGAACGCUGGCGGCAUGCCUAACACAUGCAAGUCGAACGAGACCUUCGGGUCUAGUGGCGCACGGGUGCGUAACACGUGGGAAUCUGCCCUUUGCUUCGGAAUAACAGUUAGAAAUGACUGCUAAUACCGGAUGAUGUCGAAAGACCAAAGAUUUAUCGGCAAAGGAUGAGCCCGCGUAGGAUUAGGUAGUUGGUGGGGUAAAGGCCUACCAAGCCGACGAUCCUUAGCUGGUCUGAGAGGAUGAUCAGCCACACUGGGACUGAGACACGGCCCAGACUCCUACGGGAGGCAGCAGUGGGGAAUAUUGGACAAUGGGCGAAAGCCUGAUCCAGCAAUGCCGCGUGAGUGAUGAAGGCCUUAGGGUUGUAAAGCUCUUUUACCAGGGAUGAUAAUGACAGUACCUGGAGAAUAAGCUCCGGCUAACUCCGUGCCAGCAGCCGCGGUAAUACGGAGGGAGCUAGCGUUGUUCGGAAUUACUGGGCGUAAAGCGCACGUAGGCGGCUACUCAAGUCAGAGGUGAAAGCCCAGGGCUCAACCCUGGAACUGCCUUUGAAACUAGGUAGCUAGAAUCUUGGAGAGGUCAGUGGAAUUCCGAGUGUAGAGGUGAAAUUCGUAGAUAUUCGGAAGAACACCAG
This 650-nucleotide ribosomal RNA is filed under the name uncultured bacterium. Its description in RNAcentral is "bacterial SSU rRNA". It matches the Rfam family "Bacterial small subunit ribosomal RNA", at positions 16 to 712 of the family's 1533-position model. The record is from RNAcentral.